This 252-nucleotide ribosomal RNA is filed under the name uncultured bacterium. RNAcentral describes it as "partial 16S ribosomal RNA". It matches the Rfam family "Bacterial small subunit ribosomal RNA", at positions 355 to 599 of the family's 1533-position model. The record is from RNAcentral.
UGGGGAAUAUUGCACAAUGGGCGCAAGCCUGAUGCAGCCAUGCCGCGUGUGUGAAGAAGGCCUUCGGGUUGUAAAGCACUUUCAGCGAGGAGGAGGGGUAGUGUGUUAAUAGCACAUUGCAUUGACGUUACUCGCAGAAGAAGCACCGGCUAACUCCGUGCCAGCAGCCGCGGUAAUACGGAGGGUGCAAGCGUUAAUCGGAAUUACUGGGCGUAAAGCGCACGCAGGCGGUUUGUUAAGUCAGAUGUGAAA